This 638-nucleotide long non-coding RNA is filed under the name Dasypus novemcinctus (nine-banded armadillo). Its description in RNAcentral is "lncRNA (ENSDNOG00000051372.1)". Lineage: Eukaryota; Metazoa; Chordata; Mammalia; Cingulata; Dasypodidae. The record is from RNAcentral.
UCUGCAAUCAGUUGAUGCCAACCCUUUAUGGCGUGCUGGGGAGGGAAUUGGGUUAUAUUAAAACAAACAUAGAUCUAUUUGCAAUGGAAUGCAAAACUCACAAGCUUCCUUAAGAAAGCAAAGCAGAUCCGAAGGAGUUGAGUGUGCCUCGGGCCACUCCUCUCCCUGCUCCCACCCAUUCCUCUCGCAGGGAGACCCUGGCAGGGCCGGGGUUGAGAAGCGCUGGCGUGGACGGAGAGCACCGGCUGGAAAAGACAGGUGUGCGCGCUUGCAUUCUUCCCGCAAACAGCUACAGAAAGCCAACCCUCUCUGGACUCUCACAUCAUCAAAAAACAAAGGGGUUGGGAAGCGGACUUGGCCCAAUGGAUAGAGCGUCCGCCUACCACAUGGGAGGUCCGCGGUUCAAACCCCGGCCUCCCUGACCCAUGUGGAGCUGGCCCACGUGCAGUGCUGAUGCGCGCAAGGAGUGCCCUGCCACACAGGGGUGUCCCCCGCGUAGGGGAGCCCCACAUGCAAGGAGCUCGCCCCAGCACGAAAGAAAGUGCAGCCUGUCAAGAAUGGCUCCGCACACAGGGAGAGCUGACGCAGCAAGACGACGCAACAAAAAGAAACACAGAUUCCGGGUGCCGCUGAUAAGG